CCCCUGGUAGCUCAAUGGUAGAGCAAUAGCCUUUUAAGCUAGUGGUUGAAGGUUCGAGUCCUUCCCGGGGGA
This 72-nucleotide transfer RNA is filed under the name Nanobdellota archaeon. Its description in RNAcentral is "tRNA-Lys". It matches the Rfam family "tRNA". Rfam says of the family: Transfer RNA (tRNA) molecules are approximately 80 nucleotides in length. Their secondary structure includes four short double-helical elements and three loops (D, anti-codon, and T loops). Further hydrogen bonds mediate the characteristic L-shaped molecular structure. tRNAs have two regions of fundamental functional importance: the anti-codon, which is responsible for specific mRNA codon recognition, and the 3' end, to which the tRNAs corresponding amino acid is attached (by aminoacyl-tRNA synthetases). tRNAs cope with the degeneracy of the genetic code in two manners: having more than one tRNA (with a specific anti-codon) for a particular amino acid; and 'wobble' base-pairing, i.e. permitting non-standard base-pairing at the 3rd anti-codon position. Lineage: Archaea; Nanobdellati; Nanobdellota. The record is from RNAcentral.